This 253-nucleotide ribosomal RNA is filed under the name uncultured bacterium. RNAcentral's name for it is "partial 16S ribosomal RNA". It matches the Rfam family "Bacterial small subunit ribosomal RNA", at positions 524 to 776 of the family's 1533-position model. The record is from RNAcentral.
UACGAAGGGGGCUAGCGUUGUUCGGAAUCACUGGGCGUAAAGGGCGCGUAGGCGGCCGAUCAAGUCGGGGGUGAAAGCCUGUGGCUCAACCACAGAAUGGCCUUCGAUACUGUUUGGCUUGAGACCGGAAGAGGUCAGUGGAACUGCGAGUGUAGAGGUGAAAUUCGUAGAUAUUCGCAAGAACACCAGUGGCGAAGGCGGCUGACUGGUCCGGUUCUGACACUGAGGAGCGAAAGCGUGGGGAGCGAUCCGG